Long non-coding RNA from Monopterus albus (swamp eel), 3272 nucleotides. RefSeq lists it as uncharacterized. The record is from RefSeq and is a predicted model, not a curated record. The transcript has 6 exons. NCBI's taxonomy places the organism in Eukaryota, Metazoa, Chordata, Actinopteri, Synbranchiformes, Synbranchidae.
GAAAAAGUUAAAGGUUGAGAAGAAAUGGCGGAAGUUCUUUGUUGAAAUAGCUGAAGGAUGAUAUGUACAGAAUGAUUGUGCACAUGUCACUAAGCUUGGACACAAAAUGGACAAUGACAUGUCACUAAGAGCAUUAGGUGCAGAGCAUUAGGUGCAGCUGAGAGACAUGGUAAAAAAGAAUUGUUUUUGAGAGCGAUAUAUUGUGGAUUCAAAUGCUUAGAUAGUAUCUAAUGUGGGUCUUUUGUUUUGAAAUGCAUGCAUGCGUGUGUGAUAUGCAGAGGCCUAACCUUGCCAUGACAAGCCUUGAUUGGCGGUUGACAGCGUACACUCACUGAAGAUAGGUCCACUUGUUAAGAAGAUGGCAAAGUGAAAAUAUGAUUCGGACUAUGUUAAGUAUGAAUUUACUUACAUAAAUGAUAAAAAUGGACAUAAGCCUCAAUGUGUGAUAUGCAGUGAAUUACUGGCACAAGAAAAUAUGAAGCCGUCCAAGUUAAAAAAAACAGUCAAAUACUUUCAAAGAGUACUUCGGGACCUGAGGACCACCGAGAAGAGACUGCUGUUCUCGUGUUUCAAAUCAGAGCAGGCACUAUGGGCCUCAUACCUUGUAGCUCAACUAAUAGCAAAGGCCAAGAAGCCACAUACAAUAGCAGAGGAGCUCAUCUUACCUGCGGCCCUGGACAUGGUCAGAGAGGUAUUAGGCCAGUCAGCAGCAAACAAGGUGAAGACCAUACCACUAUCUAAUGACACCAUAAUGCGGUGCAUUGAAGACAUGUCAGCCAACAUAAAACAACAUACCUCAGCGCAGAUUCUGGCCAGCGCAUACUAUGCAUAGCAGCUGGAUGAGUCGACAGAUAUUGCUAAUCAUGCCAUUUUGCUUGUUUACGUGAGACACGUGUGGGAUGGAGACAUACAGGAGCAGUUUCUAUGCAACCGAGACAUCCCCACGUCUACAAAGGCAGAGGACAUUUUCAAUGCUAUUGAUUUGUUUUUGGACUUUGUGGGACUGUGGUAACAACUGAUGGCGCAGCUUCCAUGACUGGAAAAAACUCAGGAGUUGUGAUGAAAAUCCUGGAGAGAGCGUUGAAUGCGACAUGGACUCACUGUUUUCUUCACCGAGAAGUACUUGUAGCUAAGGAUAUGGUGCCAGUGCUUGAUAAAACACUGAAAGAUGCCAUAAAAAUAGUGAACUACAUUAAAUGGAGCAUCAAGAACAGCCACUGUUUCACACAGCUGUGCAAAGACCUGGGAUCAGAGCACGUCCAGUUGUUGUAGCAGUUGUGGUGUUUAUUUUUAUUUUUGAGUAACAUUUCCUAAUUGCAGACAGAAAAAAAUUGACACAAAGGCUGUACUGACAGUUUUUUUUAAAGCUUUAUAAUUGAAUUAAUUUAUUUGAAAUCCUGUACUGGUGGGUCGCGACUUGACAAGUGGGUCCCAGGGUGACACCAGUUGAGAAACACUGAUCUAGUGUACAUAGAAAGAGCACGCUGUCUGAAACAGAGGAGUGGUACAAUCCACAAGGUUCAGAGAAUGACAACAACACCAGCUGUAGUUUCACUGAAGCAUAUUUUAGAACUAAGUGCUGAAGUGUUUCAUGAAGGGAGCAUUAUUAUGUGCAUUAUUUAUUUCCAAUAUGCACAAUCGAGUAAUAUGAUUAUAGAUAGGUUGAACAUAUGAAGUAAUGCACUUCAGGUGUAGAAGUCACCAAAUAUAACUUUUGCGACUCCCAAAGCUGGAAUUUCCAAGUGUCCCUGAAUGCAACCAUGAUACUGGGAUUUCCGGGUGUCACUGAAUGCAGCCAUUAUACAGCUGAACCGUAUUGCCUAAGUUGUCUGUCCAUCUUCCGUGUUUUUGGGUGAGUAGCAGUCAAUAUGUACUUAAUUUUUUUAACAGUAAAAAUUCAACUUAGGUGGUUUAAAUGAUGUACAACCGGCUUCUUGCUUAUAUGUACUGUAACUCAAGGCAAAGAAUGAAAAUGUAACCUUUCUGACAUGGCAAAGAGAACUAUUUGUGGUGAGCUAACUAAUGAGCUAAUAGUUAGCUCGUCAGCAAUGUUGUUGAUGUCAACCAUGAAGCUAAUGGUACCAUGUUAACUGAAGGUUUAAUGGAUAAACAUAAUGCAGCGCUAGAGGUGACUUUACAGAGUAAUUCACAUGGCAGCAUACGUGGUAAAUGGGAGUUGAGACAGCUAACUUAUUGCUGUUUCCCACAACGUCAAUGCUGCUAGCUACCGCACAAGCUACACUCCUGCAUAAGGUAACGACGUAAUGUGCAUGCAGGCCAUGAUUAACAGAUGCUACUCACAAAUGUCUGACUCUUACAGUGUCAUAACUACUCUUGUGUUCUUAUGAUAGUUCUUGCUAAUUGACAGUUACAAGAAAACAUAUUUACAGCCAAACUGGUAUUGAGAGGGAGCAGAAUUUUGCCAACUAUAUAUUUUGCUUAUUUCUUGUUUUGUUUUUUAAAUACUGGCAAGUUGUAUGAUAACUGCAGUGACUCAUUGCAUAUUUACACAUGUACAGCAGAUAUUAAAAUAUUGUUUCCUCUCAGACACAGAAUGUUGAUCCUGCCCUGUGCUUUACUUUGUCCUGGCUCCAGCAGUGCGCACAGCUGAGGUGCAUCAUCUCAUCAGCGGCUUCCGAGGUACCACACAGCUGAGUCAGGUUACCUAUCACCGACGCCAGUACUUAAGACAUUGGCGUACAAUCACUCAUCGCCAGUACGUUGACGAAUGCCUUCUCAUCCUUUGGCCUCAUCAUACAAGAAGCUAUGCUCACUCAGCGACACUACUAAAAAUCUCUGCCUGAGUGACCUGCUGCCAGUCAUCUCUCCUCUUCAUCUUCCUCGAGCCCAGCCAUCUCCGCUCUACCCCACCUGAGUUCGCCGGCUAUACUCACCUGUCUGAGCUUGUCUUCAUUUCCUCCAUCUGCCCUGCAUUGCCACCUCCAGCUCCCCAUCUGUGGACCCCUCGAGCUCUGCCUCCUCUGGCAGACAUUUCCAGCAUAUUGACUGUUAUCUCCAUAACUUGUUUUCUCAGUGCAAUAAAGUUUGUGAUCAGUAUUGCACCUGCCACCCGGGUCCAGCCUGUUCGCUCACUCGCCUCUGCGAGUGCUCACCAUAACACAGUUGCAUACCAUGACUGUCUGUGAUUCCACACUGCCUCUGAACAUCUGGCAAUGUGCUGACACCGUGGCCAUACAACAGCAAGUUCACAUACUGCAUAUGAAUGAAGACUUGGUGAAGACUUUGAAUCAGAAUCUGCUUUAUUGGCCAGG